Cyprinus carpio carpio is the source of this 2693-nucleotide long non-coding RNA. Lineage: Eukaryota; Metazoa; Chordata; Actinopteri; Cypriniformes; Cyprinidae. The record is from Ensembl.
CCCCACCCUGCACUUCAAACAGUGAAAACAAUGUGCGCCAGGUCUUCAGGAAGAACAAAAGAAGAAAAGCACCAGGCCCAGAUGGUGUUACACCAGCCUGUCUGAGAACCUGUGCUGACCAACUGGCCCCCAUCUUUUCACAGAUCUUCAACAGAUCUCUGGAGUUGUGUGAAGUGCCUUCCUGCUUCAAACGCUCCACCAUCACCCCGUUCCAAAGAAACCCAAGAUAACAGGACUUAACGACUACAGCCCUGUGGCUCUAACGUCUGUCGUCAUGAAGUCGUUUGAAAAACUGGUUCUGGCUUAUCUGAAGGACAUCACUGGACCCUCACUGGACCCCCUGCAGUUUGCUUACAGAGCAAACAGGUCUGUGGAUGAUGCAAUCAACAUGGGAUUGCACUUCAUCCUGCAACAUCUGGACAAAACAGGGACUUAUGUGAGGAUCCUGUUUGUGGACUUUAGUUCGGCUUUCACCACCAUCAUCCCAACAGCCCUCCAGACCAAAUUGACCCAGCUCCCUGUUCCUAGCUCUAUCUGUCAGGGGAUCACCAGCUUUCUGACUAGCAACAGCUAGUGAGACUGGGGAAAUUCAUGUCCAGCAGCUGCUCCACCAACCCUGGUGCCCCUCAGGGAUGUGUUCUCUCCCCACUGCUCUUCUCUCUCUACACCAACGACUGCACCUCUAAAGACCCCUCUGUCAAGCUCCUGAAGUUUGCAGAUGACACUACAGUCAUUGGUCUCAUCCAGGACGGUGACGAGUCUGCUUACAGACAAGAGGUUGAGCAGCUGGCUGUCUGGUGCAGUCUUAACAACCUGGAGCUGAACACUCUCAAAACAGUGGAGAAACCCCCCUGCACUCCCCCCUCUCACCAUCAUAGACAGCACUGUGGCUGCAGUGGAGACAUUCAGAUUCCUGGGAACCACCAUCUCUCAGGACCUGAAGUGGGACAAUCACAUUGACUCCAUUGUUAAAAAGGCCCAUCAAAGGUUGUACUUCCUUCGCCAGCUGAGGAAGUUUAACCUGCCACAGGAGCUGCUGAAACAGUUCUACUCAGCCGUCAUUGAGUCUGUCCUGUGUACUUCAGUAACUGUCUGGUUUGGUUCAGCUACAAAAUCAGACAUCAGAAGACUACAGAGAACGGUUUGGACUGCUGAAAGGAUUAUUGGUGCUCCCCUGCCCACCCUUCAAGAACUGUAUACAUCCAGAGUGAGGAAAAGGGCUCAGAAAAUCACUCUGGAUCCCUCUCAUCCAAGUUACCCCCUUUUUGAACUUCUGCCAUCUGGUCUGCGCAUCAGAGCCGCAAAUACCAGGACAGUCAGGCACAAGAACAGUUUCUACCCCCAGGCAAUCUACCUCAUGAACAGUUAAAUGUUCCCCACUUAUGCAAUAAAAAUGUGCAAUAUUCUUAUAUUUAUUUGUUACCACUCCAUCCAAGUACAUCUCUACAUCUUACUCUAUUCUAUUCCAUUAUCAUCUAUAGCACAACUGUUCAUACAAUUUAUUUAUUUGCAUUUUUUUUUUCUGUGUGUUGUUGUCUCUGUGUACUGGAAGCUUAUGUCACUAAAACAAAUUCCUUGUAUGCAUAAGCAUACAUGCCAAUAAAGCUCUUUCUGAUUCUGAAACAUCUCAUUUAAAAACAGCUGCAUUUUUUUCCUUAAUUUAACCUUAUGCAGUGAUUACAGUACCACGAACAACUAUUUUUGAUCUUUAUAAGGUUCAUGUUUACAAAAAAUAUGUCAAAUUAAGUAUUGUUUGUAGUAUUUUAUUGUUUUUAUACCAUAUUUAUGUUUUUGCUUUGAUUUUUUAUUUUUAUUUUUUUUAUUUAAAAAAACAUUGAGGUGGUCUGAUCGAUUCUCAGUGAAACAAGAAAAACUGUCAAUAUCUUGACAGCUGACAUUAAAGAAAAGAAUAGGUAAUAUUUCAUAUAAAUAACUGUAUAUAUUAUAACUGUGUGUGUGUGUAUAUAUAUAUAUAUAUAUAUAUAUAUAUAUAUAUAUAUAUAUAUAUAUAUAUAUUGUGACGGGAGGAGCCAACGACAGACUCAGUGGGCGUGGCGUCAGGCCUCGGAGAGGUUUUUAUUUAACAGAAAAACCAAAAAGAGGGAAUAAAGUGUCCAAAAGGGGAAGAGUGUCCAAAACAACAGGGAAUCUGGUGUCCUCGUCGUGCUGCGGGGUUCGUGGGGGUCUUGCAGUGUUCACGGAGGGAAGGGUCCAGGUAAGGGGCGGAGUCCGGUGGCCGCACGCGCUCCCCUCUUGGGUCCGGGGCGCGAGGGGCGGCGGCUCCUUCUAGCGGCCGCAUCCUUCUCAUUGGACGCGGCGCCUUCAGGGGAUGGACAGCCUGGCAUUUUGGCCUGAUGGCCGUGUGAACGGGUGCGGUCCUCAUCCGGACCGCGGGUCCGGCAGCUCACGUCUCUGAUGGCGCGGGAGUCCCUCAACGCACCCUUCCUGGACCCACGAGGACACCAGUGUGCAUGCACGGGGAAGAGACCGGUCUCCCGAGGAGAGGCGCGUUGGGCUUUUAAACAGCGGCGGUGAUGAGGCUCCAUUUCUUUCAGGUGUGCCCCAUCACACGCUGCCAGCCCUGACUUGUCCAGCGCCCCUCCUCUCUCACACACCCACCCCUGUCGGGAGCCUGGUGAAGGGCGGUGAUUUAGGACGGGGUGCCGAUGAUUAUCAGGGAGGAGGCAGCUGAC